Molecule: long non-coding RNA, 419 nt
Organism: Peromyscus maniculatus bairdii (prairie deer mouse)
Lineage: Eukaryota; Metazoa; Chordata; Mammalia; Rodentia; Cricetidae
Source: RefSeq, a predicted model, not a curated record
CUUGGCCUACCACUGCCCUGAACUGCAGCUCAUCAGCUCUAGGAAACCGAGGAACAGAAAGGUUGACUUGUCUGACGUCAAAGGAAGUCCAGACUCCUGCAGAACAGCUCUGGGCCACCCUCCUGACCUCUACACAGUCCAAAGGCUCAUCAUGUGGUCAAGAAAAGAGGGCAUGAACAAUGCAGUCACAGCAUCAAAGAGGUGGUCCAGGGCUGGGGAUAAGGCCAGGAUAGAGUGAGUGCUUGGCAUACGUGAGGUCCUGGAUCCAAUCUCCAGCAAAGAAAGAAGGAAAGGAAACAUGGAGGAAGCACAAAGGGGAGGGAGAGCUAAGCUUCCUAUCUGCAGUGGAAAGAAAUAAAUGGGUUCAUCCCCUAUCCUGCUUGAUGAUGGAGAAUACCAAAAUUAAAAUGUCAAAGCCC